Varanus komodoensis (Komodo dragon) is the source of this 749-nucleotide long non-coding RNA. RefSeq lists it as uncharacterized. Lineage: Eukaryota; Metazoa; Chordata; Lepidosauria; Squamata; Varanidae. The record is from RefSeq and is a predicted model, not a curated record. The transcript is spliced from 2 exons.
GUGAUACUUGAACCAAAUCUUUGUUAUAUUAAUAUAUGGCAUUCUUGCUCUGAUUCCAGUAGCAUUUUUUCAUACUGAAAUUUAAUGGAUGGCUUUUAAUUUGUUUAAAUACUAUUGUCAGAGCAACAGUAUGUGCUUAGUGCCCAUGUAUGUGCCCCUUUAAAUCCCUAUCACUUGUGUAGGUUUUUUUCCCCUUCAGUCAGCUCUGACUAGAACAAGUUUAAAUGGUUGCAGUUUGCAUUAGUCAAUCACUCCCAUUUGAUCCAACUUAAAAUGAUGUAACACCUGCUUGUAUUAGAAGAGGAGUUCUUAAUAGGAACAAAUGUAAGGGACAGUUAGUUUUUUAAUGUACAGUUUGAGCCUCUUAAUUGAGAGCACAAUUAAAGGUAGCUUUAUCAAACCUUCAGGAACCCUUUUAACUGUCUAGAAUUCCUUCUCCCAUUUUUGAAAAAGGCAAAAUAAAACCUCUUAGGAAUAAAUUAAUAGAUACAAAGUAAACAAUAAACACACACCGAAAGUGCAUUAAUGUAGUCAUGCCUUCUGCAUGUGUUUAGAUCAAACCUGAAGAUUCUAUGAGAAUGUGGUGGUCAAAAGAAGAGCUGUAAGUGUACUUGGCCACUUGAAUACUGAUGGUAAUGCAGAUAAUUCCAGAUCCUGCAGGAAAAAUGAAGUAUUUUAAUAAAGUGAAUUGACUUCUUUCUUCUAAAUAUACAACUAAGAAGCUGCCAAUAAAGUUUUGAUUUUGAUAA